AACGCAAGUUGCGCCCGAGGGAUCAUCCUGAGGGCACGCCUGCCUCAUGGGCGUAAGAAGCCCAUCCACGCUCAGGCGCAUUCUAGGUGUUCCUGAUGCGGACAUUGGCCCUCCGAGCCGCAAGGUUGCGACGGGCUCAAGUACAAUGGCUAUCGGCUGAGGUCGGGAGCGACGAGUGGUGGGCUACAAGCUAGCGUUCGUCGCCCCUCAACCUCACGUGAUGUAUGCCUUUAUUGACCCUUAACGAGCAUCACGUCGUGGCAGCGUUAUGUUGUGCGGCAUGUUCGGACUGAUACCCCAGGUCAGGCGUGGCCACCCGCUGAGUUUAA
RNAcentral lists this unclassified non-coding RNA (329 nucleotides) under uncultured soil eukaryote. RNAcentral describes it as "sequence contains 5.8S rRNA gene, ITS2, 28S rRNA gene". The record is from RNAcentral.